AGUGAACGCUGGCGGUAGGCCUAACACAUGCAAGUCGAACGGCAGCACAGUAAGAGCUUGUUCUUACGGGUGGCGAGUGGCGGAUGGGUGAGGAAUACAUCGGAAUCUACUUUUUCGUGGGGGAUAACGUAGGGAAACUUACGCUAAUACUGCAUACGACCUACGGGUGAAAGCAGGGGAUCUUCGGACCUUGCGCGAUUGAAUGAGCCGAUGUCGGAUUAGCUAGUUGGCGGGGUAAAGGCCCACCAAGGCGACGAUCCGUAGCUGGUCUGAGAGGAUGAUCAGCCACACUGGAACUGAGACACGGUCCAGACUCCUACGGGAGGCAGCAGUGGGGAAUAUUGGACAAUGGGCGCAAGCCUGAUCCAGCCAUACCGCGUGGGUGAAGAAGGCCUUCGGGUUGUAAAGCCCUUUUGUUGGGAAAGAAAAGCAGCAGGUUAAUACCCCGCUGUUCUGACGUUACCCAAAGAAUAAGCACCGGCUAACUUCGUG
This 492-nucleotide ribosomal RNA is filed under the name uncultured bacterium. RNAcentral's name for it is "partial 16S ribosomal RNA". It matches the Rfam family "Bacterial small subunit ribosomal RNA", at positions 29 to 507 of the family's 1533-position model. The record is from RNAcentral.